UGCCAGCAGCCGCGGUAAUACGGAGGGGGCUAGCGUUGUUCGGAAUCACUGGGCGUAAAGCGCACGUAGGCGGGUCAGUCAGUCAGGGGUGAAAUCCCGAGGCUCAACCUCGGAACUGCCUUUGAUACUGCUGGCCUUGAGGUCGAGAGAGGUGAGUGGAAUUCCUAGUGUAGAGGUGAAAUUCGUAGAUAUUAGGAAGAACACCAGUGGCGAAGGCGGCUUUCUGGACCAAUACUGACGCUGAGGAGCGAAAGCGUGGGGAGCAAACAGGAUUAGAUA
This 279-nucleotide ribosomal RNA is filed under the name uncultured bacterium. RNAcentral's name for it is "partial 16S ribosomal RNA". It matches the Rfam family "Bacterial small subunit ribosomal RNA", at positions 506 to 784 of the family's 1533-position model. The record is from RNAcentral.